RNAcentral lists this small nuclear RNA (106 nucleotides) under Meriones unguiculatus (Mongolian gerbil). The record is from RNAcentral. Lineage: Eukaryota; Metazoa; Chordata; Mammalia; Rodentia; Muridae.
GUGCUCACUUUGGCAUCACAUAUACUAAAAUGGGAAUUAUACAGAGAGUAUUAGCAUGGCCUCUCCACUAAAUGACACACAAAUUCGUGAAAAGUUCACAUUUUGU